AUGGGAGCCCAGCUGCAGGACAGCGAUCGGGAGGCUGGCUCGCAGACAGCGGCCCACCCUCCAAAGCCAGCAGUUAGCCUGGCACAUACAGGUGACAGUCCCGAGGCCAGCAUUGACCACUGUUCUGUCCCCACAGCCUCCAUCCACGGCCCAUCUGUCUACCCCUUGCGUUCCUGUUGCAAAAGUGCUACCAAUGCCACCUCUGUGACGCUGGGCUGCCUGGCCACGGGCUACUUCCCGGGCCCAGUGACCAUGACCUGGGACACAGCAUCCCUGAACAGGAGCACGCUGACCUUCCCUGCCAUCCAAAACUUGAACUCCAGCCUCUACACCACCAGCAGCCAGGUGACACUCUCGGGCGAGUGGUCCAAGCAGAAGCUCACCUGCAGCGUGGCCCACGUUGCGUCCAACACCACCACCACCAAGGCCGUCACUGGGUGCACCAAGAGCUUCACCGACCCCACCGUGAAGCUCUUUUACUCCUCCUGCGACCCCCGUGGCGACACCCAUACCACCAUCCAGCUCCUGUGCCUCAUCUCCGGCUACACCCCAGGCAAAAUCAAGGUCACCUGGUUGGUGGACGGGCGUGAGGCCACAGACGUGUUCCCACACACCGGCCCCGAAAAGGUGGAGGGCAAACUGGCCUCCACCUACAGCGAGCUCAACAUCACGCAGGGCCAGUGGGUGUCCCAACUCACCUACACCUGCCGGGUCACCUAUUAUGGCUUCAACUAUGACAACCACGCCCGCAGGUGCACAGCCGAGUCCGAGCCCCGUGGCGUGAGCGCCUACCUGAGCCCACCCACGCCCCUCGACCUGUACAUCAACAAGUCACCCAAGAUCACCUGCCUGGUGGUGGACCUGGCCAGCAAAAAGGACGUUGUACUGACCUGGUCCAGGGAGAACAAAGAUCUAGUGCCUUCAGACUCGCUCGUCUUCAAGGAUGAGUUCAACGGGACGGUCACCGUCACGUCCACCCUGCUGGUGAACGUCAGUGACUGGCUCAAGGGCGACACCUACUACUGCAAAGUGACCCACCCACACCUACCCAAGGAGAUCCUGCGCUCCAUCUCCAAGGGCCCUGGCAGGCGCAUGGUUCCCGAGGUCUACGUGUUCCCGCCACCCAAGGAAGAGCUCAAGACCAAGAGCGAGGUCACCCUCACCUGCCUGAUCCAGAACUUCUUCCCUGCGGACAUCUCCGUGCAGUGGCUGCGGAACGACGCCCUGAUGCAGGCGGACCAGCACACCAUCACGAGGCCCCACAAGGUCCGCAGCCCCACCCCCGACUUCUCUGCCUACUUCAUCUACAGCCACCUGGUGGUCAGGCGGGCCGACUGGGAGCAGAAGAGCAAAUUCACCUGCCAAGUGGCGCACGAGGCGCUGCCCGGCUCAAGGACGCUCAAGAGAUCGACAUCCAUCAACCUUGAGCUGGCCCUGGAGGACCUGUGCACAGAGGAGGCCGAGAGUGACGAGCUGGAGGGGACGCAGACCGGCCUCCUAACCUUCGUGGCGCUCUUCCUGCUUAGCGUGAGCUAUGGCGCUGCCGUCACCCUCUGCAAGGUGAAGUGGGUCCUGGCUGCUGUCCUGCAGAAGCAGCCGCAGGCUUCCGGCGACUACAGGAACGCCGCACAGCCCUGCCUUUUCCCUCGUGCACUGCCCCAGCACUCACCCCGAGUCCCACGCCUCCAGCUCCCUCGGGGCGGCUCCAGGGGACACCGGGGCUUCAGACCCCAGGAAGGGGCAGGGCCCCGGGACCUCACGGGCUGGCAAGAGGAGGGAUCCUCAGGGCCAAUCAACCACGAUGCAGGAGCCGCUGGUGCUCGUGAGAGCGGUGGGCGUGGGGUGGCCCGGAGUCCAGCAGCCCAGGAGGAAGUGCCCCUCGUGGCCGAUGCUCGCCUCUGGGCAGGUGGGCACAGGGACCAGCAGGGCAUGGCCACACGGCCAAAAGGCGUGGGCCUCUCCCAGCUGUGUUGGACCCGCCGGCAGCCUUGA
Non-coding RNA from Globicephala melas (long-finned pilot whale), 1992 nucleotides. The record is from the annotation of a RefSeq genome assembly. Lineage: Eukaryota; Metazoa; Chordata; Mammalia; Artiodactyla; Delphinidae.